RNAcentral lists this Y RNA (102 nucleotides) under Cercocebus atys (sooty mangabey). RNAcentral's name for it is "Y RNA (ENSCATG00000001214.1)". It matches the Rfam family "Y RNA". Rfam says of the family: Y RNAs are components of the Ro ribonucleoprotein particle (Ro RNP), in association with Ro60 and La proteins. The Y RNAs and Ro60 and La proteins are well conserved, but the function of the Ro RNP is not known. In humans the RNA component can be one of four small RNAs -- hY1, hY3, hY4 and hY5. Lineage: Eukaryota; Metazoa; Chordata; Mammalia; Primates; Cercopithecidae. The record is from Rfam by way of RNAcentral.
GGCUGGUCCAUGUGCAGUGGUGUUUACAAAUAAUUUAUCACAACCAGUUACAGAUUUCUUUCUUCCUUCUCCACUCCCACUGCUUCACUUGACUAGCCUUAA